CGCACUUAUGACAAAUCAUGGCUUGAACUAUCUUGCUUUGCAUGUAAUGCGUCUAUCUCAUGUAUUAUUUCCCCCUUUUACGUUGCGCAACUGAAAUAAAUGAACUUUUGCACGAUAUUCUAAUUUUUCAAGUAUCACCUGUACUUUCCAAUGAGACCCAGGCUUUUCCUGCCCCCUUGCCUUGUUAGACCACACCUUUUCUUAUUGAUUCAUUUCUAU
Non-coding RNA from Pelobates cultripes (western spadefoot toad), 219 nucleotides. Lineage: Eukaryota; Metazoa; Chordata; Amphibia; Anura; Pelobatidae. The record is from the annotation of a GenBank genome assembly.